UGCUAUAAUAAUUAAUAUAUCAUCGAAUAUAACUGGAAAAACAAUUAAACCAGGACAAAGCUAUAGUAUCCAAGGAAACAUAAAUUUCAAAAAGAAGUUGCAAUGGGGUAGGUAUAUUACAUAUAAUUAUAACACAUCAAUUCAAAAAUUACUUAAAUCUUACUUUUUUGGAUGCUAAGUAUAAUCUUUGUGACAUGAUUGUCUCAUUAACUAAUGAAUACUGUCCAUUGAAACCUGGAAUAUAUCAUGGAAAAUUUGAAGAUACAAUCCCAUCACUUGACUGGCCUGGCAAGUUUCACUUUAAAGCUAUUGCUUACAAUGAGAAUAGUGAUGAAAUAUGUUGUGGAAUGAUAGAAGUUAACAUAAAUUGA
This is a long non-coding RNA of Amphimedon queenslandica, 371 nucleotides long. RefSeq lists it as uncharacterized. The record is from RefSeq and is a predicted model, not a curated record. The transcript is spliced from 3 exons. NCBI's taxonomy places the organism in Eukaryota, Metazoa, Porifera, Demospongiae, Haplosclerida, Niphatidae.